GCUGGGUAUGGUGGUGCAAGCCUGUAAUCCCAGCAGCCUGGGAAGCUGAAGAAGGAGGAUCACGUGUUCAAAGCCUCAGCAAAAGCAAGGCACUAAGCAACUCAGUGAGACUCUGUCUCUU
This 121-nucleotide small RNA is filed under the name Marmota monax (woodchuck). Lineage: Eukaryota; Metazoa; Chordata; Mammalia; Rodentia; Sciuridae. The record is from RNAcentral.